Rhea pennata is the source of this 1005-nucleotide long non-coding RNA. RefSeq lists it as uncharacterized. NCBI's taxonomy places the organism in Eukaryota, Metazoa, Chordata, Aves, Rheiformes, Rheidae. The transcript has 3 exons. The record is from RefSeq and is a predicted model, not a curated record.
CGUCGCUGGGGAGGCCGAAGCGGGGCCACCCGGCGGGAGGAUCGGCGCUCCAGGGUGUCGACGCUCGCACUGGGCAGGCGCAGGUAUUCGGUUGCAAAGAUUCUCCUCUGUGAUCUGCUCUUCAAAAUGUUCAGCACCCAUUCUUUCUCGUGACCCAUUUACAGUCCAACAAUGAGGAAACGUAUUCACAGAGGGCAGUGUGUUAUCUCUAUUGGCUCUAACAUGGAAUAUCAAACAGCUGUCUUGAUGACUUGUAUUUAAAGCUAUGGUGUCACUUUCCCAAAAGUAGGACAGAGACCAAAUGUCCUGCUGUGUUUGAUCUGGGAGCUGAAGCUGAAAGCAAGGAGCACAUCUUUUUUGAAUUCAAGAAGCAGGAAGAUACUUGAUUCAUGUGCAGGCAGAGGGUGGGGUUUGAGAAAGAACUGGGAAAAACAGCUGGGAUAAAAGAGGCAAGGCAGAAGAGCCAAGUUUGGAGACUUAAGAGAAAUAGGUAGAAAGGCAGAAAGGUCUGUGACUGCUGCAGGAACUUCUCCAAAGCCAUGAAUGGAAUCUAAGAUCCUUCACUUUCCCUUGUCAGCAAAGAGGCACAGAACCCUUCAGCAAGCGGGUGAAGCUCAGAAGGCCCACACACAGAGGGAGACCAUGGACGUUGUUCGUGAAAGGCAGUGGACUUGAAGUCCAGUCAUGAGAAUGUCUGUAUGUUCACUGAGCUUUUCCAAAAAAUUUUGUCUCAGGUGCUAUAGAACAAAAUUGAUGCCAGUGUGGUAUGACAUAGGGAAAUUUCUGGGCUUGUUAUAAAUACCUCUUAUGCCUGUCAAUCCAUUUUACAAGUGUUCUAGAAAGAAAUAGGCAAAAGUUAGUACACAAUGAAAUGGUUAAAGGUUAAAUUGAACAUAUGUCUUGCAUUUAAUAGAUGAAGCGUCUAAGGAAAAUAAAUUAAAACAUAUGAACCUUUAAAUCCAGAAGAUCUCUCUCUCGUUAAACUUUGCUUUUGGCAAAUGGGGA